AGUGAACGCUGGCGGUAGGCCUAACACAUGCAAGUCGAACGGCAGCACAGGAGAGCUUGCUCUCUGGGUGGCGAGUGGCGGACGGGUGAGGAAUACAUCGGAGUCUACUUUUUCGUGGGGGAUAACGUAGGGAAACUUACGCUAAUACCGCAUACGACCUACGGGUGAAAGCAGGGGAUCUUCGGACCUUUCGCGAUUGAAUGAGCCGAUGUCGUAUUAGCUAGUUGGCGGGGUGAAGGCCCACCAAGGCGACGAUCCGUAGCUGGUCUGAGAGGAUGCUGAGCCACACUGGAACUGAGACACGGUCCAGACUCCUACUGGAGGCAGCUGUGGGGAAUAUUGGACAAUGGGCGCAAGCCUGAUCCAGCGAUACCGCGUGGGUGAAGAAGGCCUUCGGGUUGUAAAGCCUUUUUGUUGGGAAAGAAAUCCAGCUGGUUAAUACCCGGUUGGGAUGACGGUACCCAAAGAAUAAGCACCGGCUAACUUCGUGCCAGCAGCCGCCGUAA
RNAcentral lists this ribosomal RNA (506 nucleotides) under uncultured bacterium. RNAcentral's name for it is "partial 16S ribosomal RNA". It matches the Rfam family "Bacterial small subunit ribosomal RNA", at positions 29 to 523 of the family's 1533-position model. The record is from RNAcentral.